Molecule: ribosomal RNA, 315 nt
Filed under: uncultured bacterium
Lineage: Bacteria
Description: bacterial SSU rRNA
Rfam family: Bacterial small subunit ribosomal RNA
Source: RNAcentral
GAUGAACGCUGGCGGCGUGCUUAACACAUGCAAGUCGAGGGGCAGCGGGAUUGAAGCUUGCUUCAAUUGCCGGCGACCGGCGCACGGGUGAGUAACGCGUAUCCAACCUUCCGCUUACUCGGGGAUAGCCUUUCGAAAGAAAGAUUAAUACCCGAUGGUAUCUUAAGCACGCAUGAGAUUAAGAUUAAAGAUUUAUCGGUAAGCGAUGGGGAUGCGUUCCAUUAGGCAGUUGGCGGGGUAACGGCCCACCAAACCUACGAUGGAUAGGGGUUCUGAGAGGAAGGUCCCCCACAUUGGAACUGAGACACGGUCCAA